RNAcentral lists this ribosomal RNA (253 nucleotides) under uncultured bacterium. RNAcentral's name for it is "partial 16S ribosomal RNA". It matches the Rfam family "Bacterial small subunit ribosomal RNA", at positions 524 to 776 of the family's 1533-position model. The record is from RNAcentral.
GACAGAGGUGCCGAGCGUUAGGCGGAAUCACUGGGCUUAAAGCGUGUGUAGGCGGGCCGUUAAGUACCUUGUGAAAUCCCCCGGCUCAACCGGGGAACGGCUGGGUAUACUGGCGGUCUUGAGGGACCUAGGGGCGGACGGAACAAGCGGUGGAGCGGUGAAAUGCGUAGAUAUCGCUUGGAACGCCGACGGUGAAAACAGUCCGCUGGGGGUCACCUGACGCUGAGACACGAAAGCCAGGGGAGCGAACGGG